This 254-nucleotide ribosomal RNA is filed under the name uncultured bacterium. Its description in RNAcentral is "partial 16S ribosomal RNA". It matches the Rfam family "Bacterial small subunit ribosomal RNA", at positions 524 to 776 of the family's 1533-position model. The record is from RNAcentral.
UACGUAGGGGGCGAGCGUUGUCCGGAUUUAUUGGGCGUAAAGAGCUCGUAGGUGGUUUGGCAAGUCGGAUGUGAAAUCUCCAGGCUCAACCUGGAGGGGUCAUUCGAUACUGCCAUGACUAGAGUUCGGUAGGGGAGUGUGGAAUUCCUGGUGGAGCGGUGAAAUGCGCAGAUAUCAGGAGGAACACCCGUAGCGAAGGCGGCACUCUGGGCCGAUACUGACACUGAGGAGCGAAAGCGUGGGGAGCGAACAGG